RNAcentral lists this ribosomal RNA (401 nucleotides) under uncultured bacterium. Its description in RNAcentral is "bacterial SSU rRNA". It matches the Rfam family "Bacterial small subunit ribosomal RNA", at positions 356 to 773 of the family's 1533-position model. The record is from RNAcentral.
GGGGAAUAUUGCACAAUGGGGGAAACCCUGAUGCAGCAACGCCGCGUGAGCGACGAAGGCCUUCGGGUUGUAAAGCUCUGUCUUCACUGACGAAGUAUGACGGUAAGUGAGGAGGAAGCCACGGCUAACUACGUGCCAGCAGCCGCGGUAAUACGUAGGUGGCAAGCGUUGUCCGGAAUUAUUGGGCGUAAAGGGUGCGUAGGCGGUCUUUUAAGUGGGAUGUGAAAUACCUGGGCUUAACUCAGGAAUUGCAUUCCAAACUGGAAGACUAGAGUGCAGGAGAGGAAAGUGGAAUUCCCAGUGUAGCGGUGAAAUGCGUAGAGAUUGGGAGGAACACCAGUGGCGAAGGCGACUUUCUGGACUGUAACUGACGCUGAGGCACGAAAGCGUGGGGAGCAAAC